UGCAAGAGAACAAAUGCUAAGACACCAGCAAACGCAGCGCGGAAGUCCAUUGAUAAGAAGAGAUUAAUUUCUCAAAGAGUCAAAGUGGAUUUCUUAAUCUAAGCUACAAAAUUGCCAGAGGAAGCCAUGAGCACUGACUUGGGGCCAGAAACAUAUAUGGCGUAUUGGAAUGGCCAACUUCAUUAUGACGAAUCUGACGCGGUAUGGGCGGCAAGUUUCGACUAGAGAGAGGCUUUGAAAAAAGAUGCACAUGGCUCAAGACUAAGAGGAAGUUUUGUUCUGAAUUCCCAUAUGACCUUCAGGAAAGAAAGGUAACACCGAGGGAGUUGGAAUAAGACAAAUGGAUGCAUGACUACUCAGGUAAAACUACACUUGCACAGAGUCAUUGUUGGUAUCAUAUUGUAUGUUAUAAUGCUUGAAACAUAUAGAAUAUAGAAGUAGAAAGAAUCAAUCAGAGGCGUAGAAAUUGUACAUGAUUUUCAAUCAGAGAUAAUGA
Papaver somniferum (opium poppy) is the source of this 496-nucleotide long non-coding RNA. RefSeq lists it as uncharacterized. The transcript is spliced from 3 exons. Lineage: Eukaryota; Viridiplantae; Streptophyta; Magnoliopsida; Ranunculales; Papaveraceae. The record is from RefSeq and is a predicted model, not a curated record.